GGAGAGGUGGCCGAGUGGUUGAAGGCGCUGCUCUCGAAAAGCAGUAUGCCCGCAAGGGUAUCGAGGGUUCGAAUCCCUCCCUCUCCGCCA
Molecule: transfer RNA, 90 nt
Filed under: Candidatus Saccharimonadota bacterium
Lineage: Bacteria; Candidatus Saccharimonadota
Description: tRNA-Ser
Rfam family: tRNA
About the family: Transfer RNA (tRNA) molecules are approximately 80 nucleotides in length. Their secondary structure includes four short double-helical elements and three loops (D, anti-codon, and T loops). Further hydrogen bonds mediate the characteristic L-shaped molecular structure. tRNAs have two regions of fundamental functional importance: the anti-codon, which is responsible for specific mRNA codon recognition, and the 3' end, to which the tRNAs corresponding amino acid is attached (by aminoacyl-tRNA synthetases). tRNAs cope with the degeneracy of the genetic code in two manners: having more than one tRNA (with a specific anti-codon) for a particular amino acid; and 'wobble' base-pairing, i.e. permitting non-standard base-pairing at the 3rd anti-codon position.
Source: RNAcentral